CAAAAUUAUGCAAUUUUUUGUGGUUGUAGCACAACUAUAUUUAUACUUACUCUCGUCACAGUCCUCAGUCCUCACUGUCUCUCUCUUUCACGAGCAACAUUCUUGUACGGCAAGGAAGGAAAUCAAGUGGCCUGUGUACAUUUGUGACUCCAAACUCUUUCUAGCUAGGCAACCUACUUCACUUGGGUUUCACUCUCUGCCUCUCUCUCACGAUGGCUCUAAGUGCAUUUAGACUCUUUGCGGGGAUGGCUCUGGCAAUCAACUACUUCCAAAAUCGGAUGUUGAUUGAGAAAUUGGAUCUCCUCCUUGAGCAAGAGCAACUGAUUGAAAAAAACAUUGAGGCAGUCAAUACACGCACCAAGAACUUGGAGGCACUAUUGGCAAAACCUGGAGCCAAAGAAGAGUAGCUGCUACCUGGACUCGCCUGAAGACAGUCUUCCCUUCCAUAAACAGGAGUUUAGGAUGAAACUUCUACAGUAGGUGAUAUUUUGAUGGUUUUUGUGAAUAAUACUUGAAAUUAUUAAAUUUACUAAUCAAGAUGAGAAUUUGUUGGGCACCA
Molecule: long non-coding RNA, 559 nt
Organism: Quercus robur (English oak)
Lineage: Eukaryota; Viridiplantae; Streptophyta; Magnoliopsida; Fagales; Fagaceae
Exons: 3
Source: RefSeq, a predicted model, not a curated record